GGUGGCUCAGUGGUAGAGCUCUUGCCUUGCAUGCAUGAGGUCCUGGGUUCAAUUCCUCAGUACCA
RNAcentral lists this transfer RNA (65 nucleotides) under Dipodomys ordii (Ord's kangaroo rat). It matches the Rfam family "tRNA". From Rfam's summary of the family: Transfer RNA (tRNA) molecules are approximately 80 nucleotides in length. Their secondary structure includes four short double-helical elements and three loops (D, anti-codon, and T loops). Further hydrogen bonds mediate the characteristic L-shaped molecular structure. tRNAs have two regions of fundamental functional importance: the anti-codon, which is responsible for specific mRNA codon recognition, and the 3' end, to which the tRNAs corresponding amino acid is attached (by aminoacyl-tRNA synthetases). tRNAs cope with the degeneracy of the genetic code in two manners: having more than one tRNA (with a specific anti-codon) for a particular amino acid; and 'wobble' base-pairing, i.e. permitting non-standard base-pairing at the 3rd anti-codon position. Lineage: Eukaryota; Metazoa; Chordata; Mammalia; Rodentia; Heteromyidae. The record is from Rfam by way of RNAcentral.